AUUCAAUAAAAUGUGCUGAGAAAAUGAAAACUGCAAUAGAUCAUCCUGCAGAAUAUGGCUAAAAAAUAAUCUCUCUUUCGUGUCAUGGAGAGGCGGUGCCAUGCCCGUUGUGCAGCCCUGGAUGGACUGGGUGGGCAAGUCAGAGCCCCAGUGAUCCCACGUGCAGAAUGACUCACAGGCCAAGGCUCACUAAACUGAGGGCCAGCGAGGGGCUGAGGACACAGGAACCGUAUUCUAGGCUGAAAGCCCAGCACCACUCGUCCACCCGCUUAAGCCCAGCAGAUUCAGGCCUUGCCCAUCAUCUGUUGCUUCAACUACUUCAGCCACCAUCUAACUUAUCUUGACUGAGCACUCCAACAAGGUUUCCACAAUCCUUCAAAGAUCCAGCGUUAAAAUGUCCGUUUAUUCCAUUGUAUAUAUGUACCACGUCUUCUGCGGUAGAAACCAACACAACAUUGUAAAGCAAUUCCCCCUCAAUUAAAAAAAAAUUUAGAAAAGUGUCCAUUUAGUUCCCCCAUGUGAAGGGCCGACCUUCUACUUUGCUUGCAUCAUUCUCCAAGUCAGCUGUUCAGCUGGUCGGAAAAGCAGCCUCUCCUGAGAAACCGAGGGGGUCAUUUUCAUCAGUCCCCACUGAGCUUUCUCUUUCCUGAACACCUGUCUGGAGACGUGGCUGCCCUGCUCAACUGUGAGGAACUGGUUGGGGGUGGCGAGGGGCGGCGGACAGGAACUCAUAACUUGCAUGGAACCUGGAGGAAGUUUAGUGCUUAGAAAACACUUGCAUGCAAAAGAAUCUUAUCAACUUGAGCCUGCAGAGGAAGCCUCUCAAAAUCACUCCAGUUCACAGACAGCCUUGGUUCCACCGGCUCCCAGAGAGACAAAGAUAUUCAAAACAGCAAGCCCCCUCUCCCCUCCAACGGAAGGGCAGCUGUUCAGCUCCAAGCAUUGCAUAUAAAUGAUCCAGCUAACAAGGUGUUUUUAGCACAAGCUAACAGUUCACUUAGCUCAAAAAGAUGUGGGAACAAAGGUGUUACCAAGCAGUUCAGGAAGGAUUUUCAGCAGCUGGCAGAGGCUCCAAUGUUCAGCAGCCACCUCUUCUAGGUGUGUGAAGUGCGGGCAAUAUACUCAUCAAUAAAGACGGAUCUGCACUCAAAAAAAAAAAAA
Molecule: long non-coding RNA, 1161 nt
Filed under: Bubalus bubalis (water buffalo)
Lineage: Eukaryota; Metazoa; Chordata; Mammalia; Artiodactyla; Bovidae
Description: BOC144U
Source: RNAcentral